This 274-nucleotide small nuclear RNA is filed under the name Octodon degus (degu). RNAcentral describes it as "7SK RNA (ENSODEG00000023003.1)". It matches the Rfam family "7SK RNA". Rfam says of the family: 7SK was discovered as an abundant small nuclear RNA in the mid-70s but a possible function has only recently been suggested. Two independent studies have found that 7SK RNA binds the CDK9/cyclin T complex (known as elongation factor P-TEFb). Lineage: Eukaryota; Metazoa; Chordata; Mammalia; Rodentia; Octodontidae. The record is from RNAcentral.
GGUGAUCCUACUACAACACCUAUCACCCAUCGAUAACCAGGAUUGAUUAGUCUGAUCUAGUUAGCUAGGCAGAUGUCCCCUUCCUCAUCGUCCACGUGCAUCUUCCCUGAAGCUGCAUACCCUUCAUAAGAAGACUCCCGUAUUCGAUAGAGGACAGCUUCCUUGGUCAAGGGUAGAGAGUGGCUGCAGUCUCCUGCUAGAACCUCCAAACAAGCUCUCAAAGUAAGGAACAAUACUCUUAAAAGAGCAAGAAAUCCUACAAACUGACUGCAGU